GGGGGCGUAAAGGAUUCGACGAGAUCGCAGUCGCUGCUUAGAGGCAUGCCGGGUUCCGAGCACCCGUUAAACGAUCGGAACAAAAGAACUGCCAACGACAUGCAGUUUGCACACGCUGCCUAAGCUUAGGUAGCCGUCUUCGCCGUUGGGCUCGCACAUCGGCACAAGACGUCAUCUUGCGAGAUAGGUUUCAAGACUUCCGCCUGGAGCCUUGCGACCGAGACUAAUCAGGCUGGGCCGCAGGUAGCUUGUUCAUUCACAGCCUGCAGUUGAGAUCUUCGAAUGAACUAAGCAUGUAGGCUCUUCGUAGUGGCCUUUCUCGGACGCGGGUUCGAUUCCCGCCGCCUCCACCA
Molecule: transfer-messenger RNA, 353 nt
Filed under: Bryobacterales bacterium
Lineage: Bacteria; Pseudomonadati; Acidobacteriota; Terriglobia; Bryobacterales
Rfam family: transfer-messenger RNA
About the family: Bacterial tmRNA, also known as 10Sa RNA or SsrA, is named for its dual tRNA and mRNA-like properties. Its role is to liberate the mRNA from a stalled ribosome. To accomplish this part of the tmRNA is used as a reading frame that ends in a translation stop signal.
Source: RNAcentral